GGAUAUGUAGGCUAUCUGGCUGUGACUCUGUCACCCCAGAUUGCCAGGUUGAUCCGGUUGAUCUGUGUAGGCUAGUAUCUCCUUCCUCCCUCACCCCUCCAUGUUUGUCCCUCCCAGAGCUAUGCUCUUGGUUGAAGAGGAUGACCACCCUUGAUAGAGGAGGAUGGUUUCUCCGGUCAAGGUUACUCCCCAGCAAGAACCUCUGGACAGGCUCUCUAGAUAGCAACUCAGUAAGGCUGGUUCCAAUGAUGAGACAGAGUUCU
This 263-nucleotide small RNA is filed under the name Fukomys damarensis (Damara mole-rat). RNAcentral describes it as "7SK RNA (ENSFDAG00000013766.1)". The stretch from base 1 to 189 matches the Rfam family "7SK RNA". From Rfam's summary of the family: 7SK was discovered as an abundant small nuclear RNA in the mid-70s but a possible function has only recently been suggested. Two independent studies have found that 7SK RNA binds the CDK9/cyclin T complex (known as elongation factor P-TEFb). P-TEFb activates transcription by phosphorylating the C-terminal domain of RNA polymerase II. Lineage: Eukaryota; Metazoa; Chordata; Mammalia; Rodentia; Bathyergidae. The record is from RNAcentral.